CACGUAAGGGGCGAGCGUUGUUCGGAAUUAUUGGGCGUAAAGGGCGCGUAGGCGGCAUAGCAAGUCAGAUGUGAAAUAUCCCAGCUUAACUGGGGGAGCGCGUUUGAAACUGCUGUGCUGGAGUCUAGGAGGGGAAGCUGGAAUUCCUGGUGUAGGGGUGAAAUCUGUAGAUAUCAGGAAGAACACCGGUGGCGAAGGCGAGCUUCUGGCCAUAGACUGACGCUGAGGCGCGAAAGCGUGGGGAGCGAACAGG
RNAcentral lists this ribosomal RNA (253 nucleotides) under uncultured bacterium. RNAcentral describes it as "partial 16S ribosomal RNA". It matches the Rfam family "Bacterial small subunit ribosomal RNA", at positions 524 to 776 of the family's 1533-position model. The record is from RNAcentral.